RNAcentral lists this ribosomal RNA (730 nucleotides) under uncultured bacterium. RNAcentral describes it as "bacterial SSU rRNA". It matches the Rfam family "Bacterial small subunit ribosomal RNA", at positions 771 to 1501 of the family's 1533-position model. The record is from RNAcentral.
AACAGGAUUAGAUACCCUGGUAGUCCACGCCGUAAACGAUGUCGACUUGGAGGUUGUGCCCUUGAGGCGUGGCUUCCGGAGCUAACGCGUUAAGUCGACCGCCUGGGGAGUACGGCCGCAAGGUUAAAACUCAAAUGAAUUGACGGGGGCCCGCACAAGCGGUGGAGCAUGUGGGUUAAUUCGAUGCAACGCGAAGAACCUUACCUACUCUUGACAUCCAGAGAACUUAGCAGAGAUGCUUUGGUGCCUUCGGGAACUCUGAGACAGGUGCUGCAUGGCUGUCGUCAGCUCGUGUUGUGAAAUGUUGGGUUAAGUCCCGCAACGAGCGCAACCCUUAUCCUUUGUUGCCAGCGGUUAGGCCGGGAACUCAAAGGAGACUGCCAGUGAUAAACUGGAGGAAGGUGGGGAUGACGUCAAGUCAUCAUGGCCCUUACGAGUAGGGCUACACACGUGCUACAAUGGCAUAUACAAAGAGAAGCGACCUCGCGAGAGCAAGCGGACCUCAUAAAGUAUGUCGUAGUCCGGAUUGGAGUCUGCAACUCGGCUCCAUGAAGUCGGAAUCGCUAGUAAUCGUGGAUCAGAAUGCCACGGUGAAUACGUUCCCGGGCCUUGUACACACCGCCCGUCACACCAUGGGAGUGGGUUGCAAAAGAAGUAGGUAGCUUAACCUUCGGGAGGGCGCUUACCACUUUGUGAUUCAUGACUGGGGUGAAGUCGUAACAAGGUAACC